This 432-nucleotide ribosomal RNA is filed under the name uncultured bacterium. RNAcentral's name for it is "partial 16S ribosomal RNA". It matches the Rfam family "Bacterial small subunit ribosomal RNA", at positions 29 to 507 of the family's 1533-position model. The record is from RNAcentral.
ACGAACGCUGGCGGCAUGCCUAACACAUGCAAGUCGAACGAGACCUUCGGGUCUAGUGGCGCACGGGUGCGUAACGCGUGGGAAUCUGCCCUUGGGUUCGGAAUAACAGUUGGAAACGACUGCUAAUACCGGAUGAUGACGUAAGUCCAAAGAUUUAUCGCCCAAGGAUGAGCCCGCGUAGGAUUAGCUAGUUGGUGAGGUAAAGGCUCACCAAGGCGACGAUCCUUAGCUGGUCUGAGAGGAUGAUCAGCCACACUGGGACUGAGACACGGCCCAGACUCCUACGGGAGGCAGCAGUGGGGAAUAUUGGACAAUGGGCGAAAGCCUGAUCCAGCAAUGCCGCGUGAGUGAUGAAGGCCUUAGGGUUGUAAAGCUCUUUUACUCGGGAUGAUAAUGACAGUACCGGGAGAAUAAGCUCCGGCUAACUCCGUG